Calidris pugnax (ruff) is the source of this 625-nucleotide long non-coding RNA. RefSeq lists it as uncharacterized. NCBI's taxonomy places the organism in Eukaryota, Metazoa, Chordata, Aves, Charadriiformes, Scolopacidae. The transcript has 2 exons. The record is from RefSeq and is a predicted model, not a curated record.
GGAACCCAACAGACAAGGAACAGAUGCCUAAUUAGCAGAGCGCGAUGCUUCGGCGGCUGGUUCCUCUGCUGGGCGUCCCACAGGGCUCCGUGCUGGGCCUGGCUGCGUGCUCCGCGCUGCACUUCUGCUGGCUGGGAACCUCUCACCUGGGCCAAGUCUGGAAGAAAUCCAGUAUCACUAAAGCAAAUUAAUAAGACUUCUUGUAAAUUCUGCACUGAAUUUUACAUUUUUUUCUUUGCCAUUUUUUUUUAAUUAUUUUUCAAGGUGACAGCUGAGGAUUUAUACAAAAGAUACAUUGUGUGCUUUGGUUAAUGAUUUUUAAACUCAUUUCAAUUUUUCUGUAAUGCUUGGUAGUUGUUUAAAAGUAGAUUUUAUGAACAAGAGAGGAAGAUAAUGAAAAGUUAUGAAGAUUAUGAAGUUACAAUACAUAAAAUUUAGUAUUUACUUUUUGUUGAGACAUCUUUGUAUAAACUUUGUAUAUAAAUUUAUCUUUCCUAGGAAUAAUACUUGUACUGCAUUACUAGUUUAAAUAAUUGUACUCAAAGUAAAGCUAAUUUCUAAAGUCAAACUAUGUAAAUCAGUACUAAUGAUCUACUAAUGCAUUAAAGUGAUUACAAGAAUCAGA